RNAcentral lists this ribosomal RNA (537 nucleotides) under uncultured bacterium. RNAcentral describes it as "bacterial LSU rRNA". It matches the Rfam family "Bacterial large subunit ribosomal RNA", at positions 624 to 1153 of the family's 2925-position model. The record is from RNAcentral.
ACGAGUUGCUCCUCACUGGCGAGGUUAAGUUCUUAUUUAACGGAGCCGAAGCGAAAGCGAGUCCAAAUAGGGCGAAUAGUCAGUGGGGGCAGACGCGAAACUUUGUGAUCUAUCCAUGGGCAGGUUGAAGGUGUGGUAACACACACUGGAGGACCGAACCCGUUGACGUUGAAAAGUCUUGGGAUGACCUGUGGAUAGGGGUGAAAGGCCAAUCAAACUGAGAGAUAGCUCGUUCUCCCCGAAAUGUUUUUAGGAACAGCGUUGCAUUAUGAAGUUUAUUAGAGGUAGAGCUACUGAUUGGGCUAGGGGGCUUCACCGCCUACCAAACCCUGACAAACUCCGAAUGCUAAUAAUAUCUGCAGCAGUGAGGCUUUGGGCGCUAAGGUCCAGGGCCGAGAGGGAAUAACCCAGAUUAGCAACUAAGGUCCCUAAUACGUAGUUAAGUUGAUCAAACGAGGUGGGAUUUCUAUAACAGCCAGGAUGUUGGCUUGGAAGCAGCCAUUCAUUUAAAGAGUGCGUAACAGCUCACUGGUCGAG